Molecule: ribosomal RNA, 465 nt
Filed under: uncultured Klebsiella sp.
Lineage: Bacteria; Pseudomonadati; Pseudomonadota; Gammaproteobacteria; Enterobacterales; Enterobacteriaceae
Description: bacterial SSU rRNA
Rfam family: Bacterial small subunit ribosomal RNA
Source: RNAcentral
CCUACGGGGUGCUGCCGUGGGGAAUAUUGCACGAUGGGCGCAAGCCUGAUGCAGCCAUGCCGCGUGUGUGAAGAAGGCCUUCGGGUUGUAAAGCACUUUCAGCGGGGAGGAAGGCGUUAAGGUUAAUAACCUUGUCGAUUUACGUUACCCGCAGAAGAAGCACCGGCUAACUCCGUGCCAGCAGCCGCGGUAAUACGGAGGGUGCAAGCGUUAAUCGGAAUUACUGGGCGUAAAGCGCACGCAGGCGGUCUGUCAAGUCGGAUGUGAAAUCCCCGGGCUCAACCUGGGAACUGCAUUCGAAACUGGCAGGCUAGAGUCUUGUAGAGGGGGGUAGAAUUCCAGGUGUAGCGGUGAAAUGCGUAGAGAUCUGGAGGAAUACCGGUGGCGAAGGCGGCCCCCUGGACAAAGACUGACGCUCAGGUGCGAAAGCGUGGGGAGCAAACAGGAUUAGAUACCCUAGUAGUC